GAUGAACGCUGGCGGCGUGCCUAAUACAUGCAAGUCGAGCGAACCACUUCGGUGGUGAGCGGCGAACGGGUGAGUAACACGUAGGUGAUCUGCCCAUCAGACGGGGACAACGAUUGGAAACGAUCGCUAAUACCGGAUAGGACGAAAGUUUAAAGGUGCUUCUGGCACCGCUGAUGGAUGAGCCUGCGGCGCAUUAGCUAGUUGGUAGGGUAAAGGCCUACCAAGGCGACGAUGCGUAGCCGACCUGAGAGGGUGAACGGCCACACUGGGACUGAGAAACGGCCCAGACGCCUACGGGAGGCAGCAGUAGGGAAUCUUCGGCAAUGGGCGAAAGCCUGACCGAGCAACGCCGCGUGAAUGAUGAAGGCCUUCGGGUUGUAAAAUUCUGUUGUAAGGGAAGAACGACUUUAGUAGGAAAUGGCUAGAGUGUGACGGUACCUUAUGAGAAAGCCACGGCUAACUACGUGCCAGCCGCCGCCGUAA
Molecule: ribosomal RNA, 483 nt
Filed under: uncultured bacterium
Lineage: Bacteria
Description: partial 16S ribosomal RNA
Rfam family: Bacterial small subunit ribosomal RNA
Source: RNAcentral